Molecule: small RNA, 1298 nt
Filed under: Cryptococcus neoformans H99
Lineage: Eukaryota; Fungi; Basidiomycota; Tremellomycetes; Tremellales; Cryptococcaceae
Description: Cryptococcus neoformans var. grubii H99 hypothetical RNA
Source: RNAcentral
CUACUCUUUCACCCUGGCAUACUCUUUCACUUUCACCCACAUGCUUCUUCUUCGCUGAUAUUGAAUGGCUGCCAUCUGACCCCUGCAGUCAAUACCAAUACAAUGCAGUGGAACGUCGAUCGUGCUGCCUUUAAACGCAUGUGCAGGUACAGAAGAUUCUUCACUCCUUAAAAGGAUAUAAUUUAUACGACACGUUCUAUUUGGUGACUCUUGGCUGAGUAUAUCGGGGGGAAGCGAUGAAAAAAGCCACGAAAAGAAAUGGGAAUGGGAAAAGAAGGAUGGACGGAGGACCAUCAAAGGAUCUGUCUCCAGUCGUUGAAAUACCGCGUUGACUGAGGACGAGGGUCCAUAGGAAAUUAAACAAAAGGCAUGCAAGAAGGACCAACUGAGGCGACAAUGAUUCGGGACUCAUAUUUGACAGGUCUCUUCAUAGUCAUUUAAUAUGAGGCCGCAAUCCUGGUACAUUCACAAUGAAGUUUCCUUAAGUGUAUUUAGUCAUUGUAAUUGUGAAUACCUGUCUGUUGAUCAUUAUUUCAAUCACAUUUCCCCUUAUGAUGAAGGCAUCUACCAUGCCACCUCAUCUAAUAUCCCCGCCCUCAUUUUCAUACCCUAGUCCUCAGGAGAUUUUUCAAUUUCCGGCGCAUCCAACCAUCCAACUUUCUCUGCGAACUUAUUCAAUAACCAACCGCUCAAUCCCCAUAUUUCCAAAUGUGCUGGUAUAUUAACCUCAUUGCCCGGCAGAGGUAUCACAAGAUCAUCUGCCCUUAUCUUGUAAUAUGGUCGGAACCUGUUCAGGCGAAAUAGAUGUAUGGAACGGCGUCUUGGAUCAGAUAGCGCUGAGAGGGGAAGGGGUAAGAUGGCGGAAACUUCAGCAGAUGACAGUGUUAAGGAGGAUAGUGGAAGUGACGACAGGGAAGACCCGGCACUGGAAAGUGGCGGUGGUGCUGAGUGAAUGAAACCCUGCAUAUAUAUUAGUUUGAUUCGACAAGAACAAUAAGUUAAGAAUUAGCUGACCACGAAAGGCCAAACCCGAGAACGAUUACCAAGACUGUAUUCCGGAUCUAACAUACCGAGGAUUUCAACACUAGAAGGCGGUAAAGCCAAUUCUUCGUGGGCCUCCCUCAAGGCAGUAUGUAUAAGGUCUCUGUCUGUCUGUGACCAAGGUCAAUUAGCUUCCUAGAAAGAUGUUUACAGCUCACGUCAUCCGCUUUACCACCGGGAAAGCUAUUCCAGUAUAUCCAAUGUCAGCAAGGUUCCGAUAUUCUUGGGAUUGUCACAAUCCCCCCAUUCUAGGGUCC